UUCCGUGAUCCUGCCGGACCCGACUGCUAUUUGGGUGAGAAUAAGCAUGCGAGUUGAAUGGGAUACCUAAAGUUCCCAUAGCAAACUGCUCAGUAACACAUGAUCAACUUACCCUAUAGAGAAAAAUAACCUCGGGAAACUGAGGAUAAUAUUUCAUAAUUGAAUUGGCUUGGAAAAGUUUUUCAAUGAAAGGGAUAAAAAAAAAUAGUUUUUAUCUGCUAUAGGAUAGGAUCGUGUUCGAUUAUGGUUGUUGGUGAGAUAAUGGCUCACCAAGCCGAUAAUCGAUAGGGGCCAUAAGAGCGGGAGCCCCGAGAUGGAUACUGAGACAACGACCCAGGCCUUACGAGACGCAGCAGGCGCGGAACCUCCGCAAUACACGAAAGUGUGACGGGGUUACCCAAAGUGUUCAAUAGAACUGUGGUAGGUGAGUAAUGUCCCCUACUAGAAAGGAGAGGGCAAGGCUGGUGCCAGCCGCCGCGGUAAAACCAGCUCUUCAAGUGGUCGGGAUAAUUAUUGGGCUUAAAGUGUCCAUAGCCGGUUUAGUAAGUUCCUGGUAAAAUCGGGUAGCUUAACUAUCUGCAUGCUAGGAAUACUGCUAUACUAGAGGGCGGGAGAGGUCUGAGGUACUACAGGGGUAGGGGUGAAAUCUUAUAAUCCUUGUAGGACCACCAGUGGCGAGGCGUCAGACUGGAACGCGCCUGACGGUGAGGGACGAAAGCCAGGGGAGCGAACCGGAUUAGAUACCCGGGUAGUCCUGGCCGUAAACGAUGCAUACUAGGUGAUGGUACGGCCAUGAGCCGUAUCAGUGCCGUAGGGAAACCGUUAAGUAUGCCGCCUGGGAAGUACGGUCGCAAGGCUAAAACUUAAAGGAAUUGACGGGGGAGCACCACAAGGGGUGAAGCCUGCGGUUCAAUUGGACUCAACGCCGGU
RNAcentral lists this ribosomal RNA (930 nucleotides) under uncultured archaeon. Its description in RNAcentral is "bacterial SSU rRNA". It matches the Rfam family "Archaeal small subunit ribosomal RNA", at positions 1 to 922 of the family's 1478-position model. The record is from RNAcentral.